UCCCGCAGCAUGCAUGGAAGGCAAUGGCGACGAUGAUGAUGGAGACUAUGACGUUGCUCCAGCAGCUUCUCUCGAGGGCGAUGAUGAUGACGAUGGCAGCUAUGAUUAUGCUCCAGCUGCAUGAUUGGAGUGAGGUUUAUGAGUGCCCCUUACCGUGGGGUUUCUAACCCAAAACUUUUUGCAAUUCUACUAUGGAGUGAGGUUUAUGAGUGCACCCCCCCCCCCGGUGCGGCUUUAAAGCACCUUGUGAUUUUGGGUUUGUAAGGAUUAUUUUAAUUAAAUGAUAUUCAAGGAAAACAUGGGAUCGUAUUCUAUGUCAGCUAUCGUUAUUAUUUUAGCAAUCUGUGACAAACGUGGAAGCAAUUAAAUAAUUUAUUGCAGUUUUGUACUUUAGCAUAAUCCAUUGUUUUAAAAGAAUGUUUUCUUAUCUGUUGGUGUUA
This 440-nucleotide long non-coding RNA is filed under the name Gossypium barbadense (sea-island cotton). Its description in RNAcentral is "long non-coding RNA (GBAR_LNC015918)". Lineage: Eukaryota; Viridiplantae; Streptophyta; Magnoliopsida; Malvales; Malvaceae. The record is from RNAcentral.